AACGAACGCUGGCGGCAGGCUUAACACAUGCAAGUCGAGCGCCCCGCAAGGGGGGCGGCAGACGGGUGAGUACCGCGUGGGAACGUACCUUUUGGUUCGGAACAACUCCGGGAAACUGGAGCUAAUACCGGAUAAGCCCUAACGGGGAAAGAUUUAUCGCCGAAAGAUCGGCCCGCGUCUGAUUAGCUAGUUGGUGAGGUAACGGCGCACCAAGGCGACGAUCAGUAGCUGGUCUGAGAGGAUGAUCAGCCACACUGGGACUGAGACACGGCCCAGACUCCUACGGGAGGCAGCAGUGGGGAAUAUUGGACAAUGGGCGCAAGCCUGAUCCAGCCAUGCCGCGUGAGUGAUGAAGGCCUUAGGGUUGUAAAGCUCUUUUGUCCGGGAAGAUAAUGACUGUACCGGAAGAAUAAGCCCCGGCUAACUUCGUG
RNAcentral lists this ribosomal RNA (431 nucleotides) under uncultured bacterium. RNAcentral describes it as "partial 16S ribosomal RNA". It matches the Rfam family "Bacterial small subunit ribosomal RNA", at positions 29 to 507 of the family's 1533-position model. The record is from RNAcentral.